This 253-nucleotide ribosomal RNA is filed under the name uncultured bacterium. RNAcentral's name for it is "partial 16S ribosomal RNA". It matches the Rfam family "Bacterial small subunit ribosomal RNA", at positions 524 to 776 of the family's 1533-position model. The record is from RNAcentral.
UACAGAGGUCCCAAGCGUUGUUCGGAUUCAUUGGGCGUAAAGGGUGCGUAGGCGGCGCGGUAAGUCGGGUGUGAAAUCUCGGGGCUUAACUCCGAAACUGCAUUCGAUACUGCGGUGCUUGAGGACUGGAGAGGAGACUGGAAUUCAUGGUGUAGCAGUGAAAUGCGUAGAGAUCAUGAGGAAGACCAGUGGCGAAGGCGGGUCUCUGGACAGUUCCUGACACUGAGACACGAAGGCCAGGGGAGCAAACGGG